GAGUUUGAUCCUGGCUCAGGACGAACGCUGGCGGCGUGCCUAAUGCAUGCAAGUCGAACGCAGCAGGCGUGCCUGGCUGCGUGGCGAACGGCUGAGGAACACGUGGGUAACCUGCCCCGGAGUGGGGGAUACCCCGUCGAAAGACGGGACAAUCCCGCAUACGCUCUUUGGAGGAAAGCCAUCCGGCGCUCUGGGAGGGGCCUGCGGCCCAUCAGGUAGUUGGUGUGGUAACGGCGCACCAAGCCAAUGACGGGUACCCGGUCUGAGAGGACGACCGGGCAGACUGGGACUGCGACACGGCCCAGACUCCUACGGGAGGCAGCAGCAAGGAAUUUUCCCCAAUGGGCGCAAGCCUGAGGGAGCAACGCCGCGUGGAGGACGACGGCCUUCGGGUUGUAAACUCCUUUCGGGUGGGACGAGCCUGACGGUACCACCAGAAGCAGCCCCGGCUAACUCUGUGCCAGCAGCCGCGGUAAGACAGAGGGGGCAAGCGUUGUCCGGAGUUACUGGGCGUAAAGGGCGCGCAGGCGGUGGGCUGCGUCGGCGCUGAAAGCGCCCCGCUUAACGGGGCGAGGUGCGCCGAUACGAGUUCACUCGAGGCAAGCAGAGGGUGGCGGAAUUCCGGGUGGAGCGGUGAAAUGCGUAGAGAUCCGGAGGAACGCCGGUGGGGAAGCCGGCCACCUGGGCUUGACCUGACGCUGCGGCGCGACAGCGUGGGGAGCAAACCGGAUUAGAUACCCGGGUAGUCCACGCCGUAAACGAUGUCGACUAGCUGUUGGGCGGAUAACCGCUUAGUAGCGAAGCUAACGCGUGAAGUCCACCGCCUGGGGAGUACGGCCGCAAGGCUGAAACUCAAAGGAAUUGACGGGGGCCCGCACAAGCAGCGGAGCAUGUGGUUUAAUUCGAUGCAAAACGAAGAACCUUACCCGGGCUUGACAUGCCGGUGGUACCGACCCGAAAGGGAAGGGACCCCGCAAGGGGAGCCGGCACAGGUGCUGCAUGGCUGUCGUCAGCUCGUGCCGUGAGGUGUCGGGUUAAAUCCCGCAACGAGCGCAACCCCUGCCCCUAGUUACACGUGUCUAGGGGGACUGCCGGCGACAAGCCGGAGGAAGGUGGGGAUGACGUCAAGUCAGCAUGGCCUUGAUGCCCGGGGCUACACACACGCUACAAUGCCCGGUACAAUGGGUUGCCAACCCGCGAGGGGGAGCCAAUCCCAUCAAAGCCGGGCUCAGUUGGGAUUGCAGGCUGCAACCCGCCUGCAUGAACGCGGAGUUGCUAGUAACCGCCGGUCAGCCAUACGGCGGUGAAUACGUUCCCGGGCCUUGCACACACCGCCCGUCACGUCAUGGGAGUCGGCAACGCCUGAAGCCGGUGGCCCAACCCUCCCCCUCCCAGGGCCUCUCUUGCGGAGAGAGGUCUUGGGAGGGGGAGGGAGGGAGCCGUCGAAGGCGGGGCCGGCGACUGGGACGAAGUCGUAACAAGGUAACC
This 1488-nucleotide ribosomal RNA is filed under the name uncultured bacterium. RNAcentral describes it as "partial 16S ribosomal RNA". It matches the Rfam family "Bacterial small subunit ribosomal RNA". The record is from RNAcentral.